GACGAACGCUGGCGGCGCGCUUAACACAUGCAAGUCGAACGGAAAGGCCCUGCUUUUGUGGGGUGCUCGAGUGGCGAACGGGUGAGUAACACGUGAGUAACCUGCCCUUGACUUUGGGAUAACUUCAGGAAACUGGGGCUAAUACCGGAUAGGAGCUCCUGCUGCAUGGUGGGGGUUGGAAAGUUUCGGCGGUUGGGGAUGGACUCGCGGCUUAUCAGCUUGUUGGUGGGGUAGUGGCUUACCAAGGCUUUGACGGGUAGCCGGCCUGAGAGGGUGACCGGCCACAUUGGGACUGAGAUACGGCCCAGACUCCUACGGGAGGCAGCAGUGGGGAAUAUUGCACAAUGGGCGGAAGCCUGAUGCAGCAACGCCGCGUGCGGGGUGACGGCCUUCGGGUUGUAAACCGCUUUCGCCUGUGACGAAGCGUGAGUGACGGUAAUGGGUAAAGAAGCACCGGCUAACUACGUGCCAGCAGCCGCGGUGAUACGUAGGGUGCGAGCGUUGUCCGGAUUUAUUGGGCGUAAAGGGCUCGUAGGUGGUUGAUCGCGUCGGAAGUGUAAUCUUGGGGCUUAACCCUGAGCGUGCUUUCGAUACGGGUUGACUUGAGGAAGGUAGGGGAGAAUGGAAUUCCUGGUGGAGCGGUGGAAUGCGCAGAUAUCAGGAGGAACACCAGUGGCGAAGGCGGUUCUCUGGGCCUUUCCUGACGCUGAGGAGCGAAAGCGUGGGGAGCGAACAGGCUUAGAUACCCUGGUAGUCCACGCUGUAAACGGUGGGUACUAGGUGUGGGGUCCAUUCCACGGGUUCCGUGCCGUAGCUAACGCUUUAAGUACCCCGCCUGGGGAGUACGGCCGCAAGGCUAAAACUCAAAGGAAUUGACGGGGCCCCGCACAAGCGGCGGAGCAUGCGGAUUAAUUCGAUGCAACGCGUAGAACCUUACCUGGGUUUGACAUGGAUCGGGAGCGCUCAGAGAUGGGUGUGCCUCUUUUGGGGUCGGUUCACAGGUGGUGCAUGGCUGUCGUCAGCUCGUGUCGUGAGAUGUUGGGUUAAGUCCCGCAACGAGCGCAACCCUUGUUCACUGUUGCCAGCACGUUAUGGUGGGGACUCAGUGGAGACCGCCGGGGUCAACUCGGAGGAAGGUGGGGAUGACGUCAAGUCAUCAUGCCCCUUAUGUCCAGGGCUUCACGCAUGCUACAAUGGCUGGUACAGAGAGUGGCGAGCCUGUGAGGGUGAGCGAAUCUCGGAAAGCCGGUCUCAGUUCGGAUUGGGGUCUGCAACUCGACCUCAUGAAGUCGGAGUCGCUAGUAAUCGCAGAUCAGCAACGCUGCGGUGAAUACGUUCCCGGG
Molecule: ribosomal RNA, 1343 nt
Filed under: uncultured bacterium
Lineage: Bacteria
Description: 16S ribosomal RNA
Rfam family: Bacterial small subunit ribosomal RNA
Source: RNAcentral